GCCAUGUCUUCAGAGGGGGAGGGUCCAGCUGGUGACCGUCUGUCAGAGGCUGCAAAGGCUGAGUGGAUGGCUGCUCAGAAGGACGGCGGAAUAGAUGGUCUGGAUGAAGAGGAUGAUGAGGAAGAUGGGGACACGGACAGUUUGAUGGAGUGGUGGUACACAGUGGAGCAAUGGGACGAGCUGCCGUCAGACGAAGAAGAUGCAAAAGUCAA
Nematolebias whitei (Rio pearlfish) is the source of this 212-nucleotide long non-coding RNA. RefSeq lists it as uncharacterized. The transcript has 4 exons. NCBI's taxonomy places the organism in Eukaryota, Metazoa, Chordata, Actinopteri, Cyprinodontiformes, Rivulidae. The record is from RefSeq and is a predicted model, not a curated record.